GCUUCAGCCUUUGAUGGUUUGGGUCCUGGGAGUCUGACUAUGAAGGCCAACCAGAACAGUGAAUGGGAAGAGGCUUACAUCAACUCAGGCCGAACUGGUUGGUUCGGUGCAUUCGUGGUAAUGAUUGGCUUAGGCAUCAUUUAUGGCUUGGUCCUAUAUUAAUGAAGUCUAGGCAUAGCAACCCAGGGGUCCGCUCCCCAACCGAGCCACUCACCAAACACUAACCAGCCAAGUCAGCCAUCAGGCAAGAAAUUCAACCGCUGAGACAUCUAGCCAAGAAAUCCUCUAACCAAGGAACUCAACAUUCAAGAAACCCACCAACCCAGGAACACACAGACCACCUGCCUGUGCUACUUCAACUCACUCAGCUCCAGAGCUGUCUUCGUUCACCCUAGGGGUCCACACUUCAUGCCCUAGAUCCCUUUAGCUCCUUGACACUGGGCUGUUC
This 448-nucleotide long non-coding RNA is filed under the name Homo sapiens (human). RNAcentral describes it as "HSALNT0258934". The record is from RNAcentral. Lineage: Eukaryota; Metazoa; Chordata; Mammalia; Primates; Hominidae.